Molecule: regulatory RNA element, 114 nt
Organism: Helobdella robusta
Lineage: Eukaryota; Metazoa; Annelida; Clitellata; Rhynchobdellida; Glossiphoniidae
Rfam family: Potassium channel RNA editing signal
About the family: This family represents a group of sequences related to the human potassium channel Kv1.1 hairpin element which directs the efficient modification of an adenosine to inosine by an adenosine deaminase acting on RNA (ADAR).
Source: Rfam
GUUGGGUACGGGGACAUGAUGCCGACGAGUCCCUGGGGCAAACUGGUUGGCUCCCUGUGCGCCAUCGCAGGUGUCCUCACCAUCGCCCUGCCAGUUCCCGUCAUCGUUUCAAAC